CCAGAGAACUUAGCAGAGAUGCUUUGGUGCCUUCGGGAACUCUGAGACAGGUGCUGCAUGGCUGUCGUCAGCUCGUGUUGUGAAAUGUUGGGUUAAGUCCCGCAACGAGCGCAACCCUUAUCCUUUGUUGCCAGCGGCUCGGCCGGGAACUCAAAGGAGACUGCCGGUGAUAAACCGGAGGAAGGUGGGGAUGACGUCAAGUCAUCAUGGCCCUUACGGCCAGGGCUACACACGUGCUACAAUGGCGCAUACAAAGAGAAGCGACCUCGCGAGAGCAAGCGGACCUCACAAAGUGCGUCGUAGUCCGGAUUGGAGUCUGCAACUCGACUCCAUGAAGUCGGAAUCGCUAGUAAUCGUAGAUCAGAAUGCUACGGUGAAUACGUUCCCGGGCCUUGUACACACCGCCCGUCACACCAUGGGAGUGGGUUGCAAAAGAAGUAGGUAGCUUAACCUUCGGGAGGGCGCUUACCACUUUGUGAUUCAUGACUGGGGUGAAGUCGUAACAAGGUAGGCGUAGCGAG
Molecule: ribosomal RNA, 521 nt
Filed under: uncultured bacterium
Lineage: Bacteria
Description: bacterial SSU rRNA
Rfam family: Bacterial small subunit ribosomal RNA
Source: RNAcentral